CUACGUGCCAGCAGCCGCGGUAAUACGUAUGUCACAAGCGUUAUCCGGAUUUAUUGGGCGUAAAGCGCGUCUAGGUGGUUAUGUAAGUCUGAUGUGAAAAUGCAGGGCUCAACUCUGUAUUGCGUUGGAAACUGUGUAACUAGAGUACUGGAGAGGUAAGCGGAACUACAAGUGUAGAGGUGAAAUUCGUAGAUAUUUGUAGGAAUGCCGAUGGGGAAGCCAGCUUACUGGACAGAUACUGACGCUGAAGCGCGAAAGCGUGGGUAGCAAACAGGAUUAGAUACCCUGGUAGUCCACGCCAUAAACGAUGAUUACUAGGUGUUGGGGGUCGAACCUCAGCGCCCAAGCAAACGCGAUAAGUAAUCCGCCUGGGGAGUACGUACGCAAGUAUGAAACUCAAAGGAAUUGACGGGGACCCGCACAAGCGGUGGAGCAUGUGGUUUAAUUCGACGCAACGCGAGGAACCUUACCAGCGUUUGACAUC
This 484-nucleotide ribosomal RNA is filed under the name uncultured bacterium. RNAcentral describes it as "bacterial SSU rRNA". It matches the Rfam family "Bacterial small subunit ribosomal RNA", at positions 501 to 988 of the family's 1533-position model. The record is from RNAcentral.